Non-coding RNA from Myotis brandtii (Brandt's bat), 75 nucleotides. NCBI's taxonomy places the organism in Eukaryota, Metazoa, Chordata, Mammalia, Chiroptera, Vespertilionidae. The record is from Rfam.
GGCAGUUCUCAGGUGACACACCCUGGAAUCGGGCUCCUUCCUCUCUGGUUCUGGUUGCCUCACCUGAGAACCACA